Molecule: ribosomal RNA, 217 nt
Filed under: uncultured bacterium
Lineage: Bacteria
Description: partial 16S ribosomal RNA
Rfam family: Bacterial small subunit ribosomal RNA
Source: RNAcentral
GAUGACAUUACGGGGGGACUCCUACGGGAGGCAGCAGUGGGGAAUAUUGGACAAUGGGCGCAAGCCUGAUCCAGCCAUGCCGCGUGUGUGAAGAAGGCCUUUUGGUUGUAAAGCACUUUAAGCGAGGAGGAGGCUACUUGGAUUAAUACUCUAGGAUAGUGGACGUUACUCGCAGAAUAAGCACCGGCUAACUCUGUGCCAGCAGCCGCGGUAAAAU